AGCUACCCACCCUCGCUGUCCGUGCGGGGUCGAGGCUGGGACCCGGGUGAACAGGGACUGCUCUAAGGCGUCACUGUGACGGCGUUAAUCAAAAUAAAUCAUUAAUCAAAUGCA
RNAcentral lists this long non-coding RNA (114 nucleotides) under Homo sapiens (human). RNAcentral describes it as "novel transcript, antisense to OPTN". Lineage: Eukaryota; Metazoa; Chordata; Mammalia; Primates; Hominidae. The record is from RNAcentral.